Molecule: ribosomal RNA, 468 nt
Filed under: uncultured bacterium
Lineage: Bacteria
Description: partial 16S ribosomal RNA
Rfam family: Bacterial small subunit ribosomal RNA
Source: RNAcentral
GACGAACGCUGGCGGCGUGCUUAACACAUGCAAGUCGAACGGAAAGGCCCUGCUUUUGUGGGGUGCUCGAGUGGCGAACGGGUGAGUAACACGUGAGUAACCUGCCCUUGACUUUGGGAUAACUUCAGGAAACUGGGGCUAAUACCGGAUAGGAGCUCCUGCUGCAUGGUGGGGGUUGGAAAGUUUCGGCGGUUGGGGAUGGACUCGCGGCUUAUCAGCUUGUUGGUGGGGUAGUGGCUUACCAAGGCUUUGACGGGUAGCCGGCCUGAGAGGGUGACCGGCCACAUUGGGCCUGAGAUACGGCCCAGACUCCUACGGGAGGCAGCAGUGGGGAAUAUUGCACAAUGGGCGGAAGCCUGAUGCCGCAACGCCGCGUGCGGGAUGACGGCCUUCGGGUUGUAAACCGCUUUCGCCUGUGACGAAGCGUGAGUGACGGUAAUGGGUAAAGAAGCACCGGCUAACUACGUG